RNAcentral lists this ribosomal RNA (460 nucleotides) under uncultured bacterium. Its description in RNAcentral is "partial 16S ribosomal RNA". It matches the Rfam family "Bacterial small subunit ribosomal RNA", at positions 338 to 795 of the family's 1533-position model. The record is from RNAcentral.
CCUACGGGCGGCUGCAGUGAGGAAUAUUGCUCAAUGGGCGCGAGCCUGAACCAGCCAAGUAGCGUGAAGGAUGGCUGCCCUACGGGUUGUAAACUUCUUUUAUAAAGGAAUAAAUUAAGACACGUGUUCCUUUUUGUAUGUACUUUAUGAAUAAGGAUCGGCUAACUCCGUUCCAGCAGCCGCGUUAAUACUGAUUAUCCGUGCGUGUUCCGGAUUUAUUGGGUUUAAAGGGAGCGUAGAUGGGUUGUUAAGUCAGUUGUGAAAGUUUGCGGCUCAACCGUAAAAUUGCAAUUGAUACUGGCAGCCUUGAGUACAGUUGAGGUAGGCGGAAUUCGCGGUGUAGCGGUGAAAUGCUUAGAUAUCACGAAGAACUCCGAUUGCGAAGGCAGCCUACUAAACUGUCACUGACAUUGAUGCUCGAAAGUGUGGGUAUCAAACAGGAUUAGAUACCCGGGUAGUC